This 253-nucleotide ribosomal RNA is filed under the name uncultured bacterium. RNAcentral's name for it is "partial 16S ribosomal RNA". It matches the Rfam family "Bacterial small subunit ribosomal RNA", at positions 524 to 776 of the family's 1533-position model. The record is from RNAcentral.
GACGAACCACACGAACGUUAUUCGGAAUCACUGGGCUUAAAGGGUGCGUAGGCGGCGCGGAAAGUAGGGUGUGAAAUCCCUCGGCUUAACCGAGGAAUAGCGCUCUAAACUACCGUGCUCGAGGGAGAUAGAGGUGAGCGGAACUUAGGGUGGAGCGGUGAAAUGCGUUGAUAUCCUAAGGAACACCGGUGGCGAAAGCGGCUCACUGGAUCUCUUCUGACGCUGAUGCACGAAAGCGUGGGGAGCAAACAGG